CGUAAAACGCGGGUAUCCUGUACAUUCACUCCUCCAGGAGUCUGGUGCGUUGUGAUGCUCCGCCAUCUUUGAAAAGUCGAAGACAUAAAUAGUCCAGAUAAAAUCCAGAUAUUAUCCAUCAGCUCAGAAGGUGGCCCCAACUAUCUUCCAGGUGCAAGAUGUUAAGCGCUGUGCGAGUUAGCCAGCCUAAGAAGAUUUACACAUUCUGGUCCAAGUUUCUUGGUGGUUCCAUGUGGUUCUGGAUUCUAUGGCGACUGAAACAUGACUGGCCAGAGGUUGUGGGUCAUCACCAUGUUUUAAAGGAUGAGGCUGAAGGACAUCAUUAACUUGAAGACAAAAGAGUGUAAAUUGUAGCUGUGAAUAAAACUUGUUUAAAUUG
This is a long non-coding RNA of Nematostella vectensis (starlet sea anemone), 379 nucleotides long. RefSeq lists it as uncharacterized. The record is from RefSeq and is a predicted model, not a curated record. Lineage: Eukaryota; Metazoa; Cnidaria; Anthozoa; Actiniaria; Edwardsiidae. The transcript has 3 exons.